RNAcentral lists this microRNA precursor (101 nucleotides) under Culex quinquefasciatus (southern house mosquito). RNAcentral describes it as "microRNA cqu-mir-275 precursor". Its record names the gene cqu-mir-275. The stretch from base 7 to 96 matches the Rfam family "mir-275 microRNA precursor family". The record is from miRBase by way of RNAcentral. Lineage: Eukaryota; Metazoa; Arthropoda; Insecta; Diptera; Culicidae.
CCCGGAAUCCUUCCGAUAGCGCGCGCUAAGCAGGAACCGGGACUUGGUCAUUCGCUAGCAGUCAGGUACCUGAAGUAGCGCGCGUGAUCGGAAGUGCCGCC